Long non-coding RNA from Mastomys coucha (southern multimammate mouse), 278 nucleotides. RefSeq lists it as uncharacterized. NCBI's taxonomy places the organism in Eukaryota, Metazoa, Chordata, Mammalia, Rodentia, Muridae. The record is from RefSeq and is a predicted model, not a curated record. The transcript has 2 exons.
UUUCAGACUUCAGGUACUGAAUAGCCAGCCUCAUUGGUGUCUAAUGGAGAAUCCCUUUGAAGAUUGAGAGCCAUUCAUAUUUCAGUUACCUUAGGAACCAUGGAUAACAAGGACCAUCAAGAACUUGCUCACUUACCUGUAACAGGAGGCAGUAUGCAGCAUUUAAUCAUUGUACGUCUAAAGAAGAGAUGUCCAGGGGCUGGAGAAAUCCCUUUCUGAUGUGUCUGAGGAGAACAACGGUGUAUUCACAUACAUAAAAUAAAUAAUUUUUAAAAAGA